UGGGGAAUUUUGGACAAUGGGCGCAAGCCUGAUCCAGCCAUUCCGCGUGAGUGAAGAAGGCCUUCGGGUUGUAAAGCUCUUUCGGCAGGGAAGAAAAGGUACGGGCGAAUAACUCGUAUUGAUGACGGUACCUGAAGAAGAAGCACCGGCUAACUACGUGCCAGCAGCCGCGGUAAUACGUAGGGUGCGAGCGUUAAUCGGAAUUACUGGGCGUAAAGCGUGCGCAGGCGGUUAUUUAAGACAGAUGUGAAAGCCCCGGGCUCAACCUGGGAACUGCGUUUGUGACUGGAUAGCUAGAGUGUGGCAGAGGGGGGUGGAAUUCCACGUGUAGCAGUGAAAUGCGUAGAGAUGUGGAGGAACACCGAUGGCGAAGGCAGCCCCCUGGGCCAGCACUGACGCUCAUGCACGAAAGCGUGGGGAGCAAACAGG
Molecule: ribosomal RNA, 429 nt
Filed under: uncultured bacterium
Lineage: Bacteria
Description: bacterial SSU rRNA
Rfam family: Bacterial small subunit ribosomal RNA
Source: RNAcentral